CGCGCGUUGUUGCGGAAUUUUGUAAAUAGAUUCUGAGAGAUACAUGAGGGGAUAUAAGAUAAAUAUAAUAGACAGCACAUAGGAAAUGUCUGUUUUAUUAUAUUCAGCAAACAAUGACAUUUUUCAUACGAUGAAAUUUAUUAACCGAAGCAACAAAAGUGAUGUUUGAUCACAAAUUUGUUUUUUUACCUCCUCUUCAAUUGUACUUAGCUGCAUGUGAGGUAAUCCAUUUUUCAUGUAUGAGUAGGAACAUGAGUGUCUUGAAGCUUCGGUUUGCUGUGGUCUCUGCCUGUGGAUUUGCCCGUGACAGACUGACAGCUAUAGAAACUGUUGGCAUCGUAGAAGAAUUCAUUUGAACAAUUGCAUGCCUUCACUUGUGGAAUAUGGACAAAACAGAAAUGAACAUCACCAUACAAAGGUUUGGGUAGAUUCAUGACAGGAAAUAAUAGUAGUUUAUGCUAUGAAGUAUAAAAAUGUGAAAAUAAUGCAAAGGUCAUAAAAGAUAAUUUGAGGCCCCUAAACACAGAAUUGAAGGUAAUAACAUUACUAAUUGAGGAUUAGAGAAAACCUGUUGGCUGGUUGUUCAUGGUCCAUGUGUGGGGAUGAGUAUAGUGCUGUUGAGUAUAGGAGGAAUGGGAAAGAUAAGCUAUUGUUGGGAGAAACCAAGUGAGGUGUCCCUGAUAGUUAUAUAAGUUGAGUGGUAAUGGUGGAUUGAGUUAAUUGUGGAGAUUAUAGGUAUAAUAAUGUUUGCCAUGUGGAGAUUAUAAGUAUUAUAUUACAAUUAAACACUACUUUUGGAGGAGUUAUUUGGUAGUAAAACACAUGCAUGAAACAUCAAUGAAAAUUUGUAAACUUUGAAAGAAUAAAUGUGAACAAAUCUGAAUGAAGAAAAAAUGAAGCCGAGAAGAUGGCAUAGUUGUUUUGAGGAAAUUUGUUGCGUGCACCAUAGCCUAGUGUGUAGUGAUUUUAAAACUAAAUAACUAUGUCUUGUCAUCUGGAAAGUAAAAAAUCAUCUAUUUUAUUUAAAUUCUUAUCUGUUGGUAUAAAUAUGUGAAGAGAGCACCAGAAACUCCCCAUCUUUAGUUUCUUUGUCAUGAGAAUAUUAAUGGACAGUUGUUUGUUUGGUGAUAAGCGUGCGCCAAUAGAAACAAAAUCACUUGUAGCAUUUUUGGACUGAAAGAUCUAUACAACUCAAGAUAAAUAGUUGCACUAACCUGAUGAAUCUCCCUUUUGUCAAUUGAUUUAUUUUAUUCUACCAUUAUGAAGAACAUCCUCUGUAGUCCAAUCAGAAAGAACAGAAACCUGGAAAGCAUCAAUCACAAAACCAUAGCUUAUAGACCUGAAUACAAAUUAGGGGGAAAAGGAUCCUCUAACUUUGGCUGGAAAGCCACGGUGUUGCAGUUCGCUUCAUCCCUGCCGACCACUGCAUCCAAUGGCACACAUCCAUCUUUCCUCCUUUGCUUGCAUGCUGUGCGGCCCAGUUCAGCAUGCAGCGGCCAUCGGCGCCCAUCUGGCCACAAUAACUUUGUUGUAUGCUGUCGCCUGCUACUACAUGCAUGAAUGCAAAGUUUCAACUUUCAACAGAACCUGAACUGCUGAAGCAUAAAACAGAUAUAAACCAUUUAGAAUAAUUCAAAAUAAGACCUAAGUUUCAACUUUCAAGUAGCAUCAUUCAUGCACUGCAAACCAACAAAUGAGUUUUGGACAGCACUAUAAGGCCAUGGAUAUUGUGACUAAAACAGUAGGAUUAUAAGCAAGAUCUCCGUUAAUAGUUGAGUGUAACUAUUAAUGACCCUAUAUUCCUCAGAAUCUUUUGUGUUGCCCAUCAAAGCAAUAUCUGUUUGCUCUGCUUCCUAACCAUCAUUCUUAGCCUUGAAAGAUUCAGAGUAAAAAUUAGUCCAGUUAGAUUACAUUGAUUUCUAAAUGAUAUUUAGACGUCCAUAGCAACACUCAAAAUCCAUGACCUCAUAUCACCAAUGACAACUUAGAUUAGUACUAUUCACCUGUUGGAUUCGUGGUGCUCUCUUUGAGCCUCUUCUUCCAUUUCUUCACCAAAGCAGAAAUUGACCGAUGGUGGAAGAUGGAUAUUCAAUUGAUUGCUUCUUGCUUUCCCUGUACUUCAUUACUUCGUUUUCUUUUAGAACCCAGAAAGAAAGGAUCAAAACCCAGAGUGUUCUAUACUUUGGCACUAAAACUGAGCGAGGGCUGCCUUUUUCCCUCCACUACCUACCGCUGCACCCCUGUUUUUUCCACGCCGGCCGUGCUGUGAUUUUGGGCCGAACUGGAUCGCACAGUAUGCAAGCAAACGAGGGAAGAUGGAUGUGUGCCGUUAGAUGUAGUGGUCGGCAGGGAUGAAGCGAACUGCAACACCGUGACUUUCCAAGCCAAAGUCAGAGGAUCCGUUUCCAAAUUAGGGAUAUCUUAUAGCAAAGGAGGAUUAAUAUGGCGCAAUAUGUGCCUCAAUUUUAAUGUCAACACUGAACUAAUGACAGUUUAAAUUUUAGCCAAAGAUAGUUUACACUGGAAAUAUCUGGAAGUGCUGUUGUGGAAGAAAUUUCUUGUAUUUCUUGCGAAGCUAGUACCCUGGGAUGAACAUAUAUAUUAUUUUCUGGAAAUCAGGUGAACAUAGAUGAAUAUGAAGCGAAUUGAAUCAUAUGUAUUUCAGAUAGAAAAGGUUUUUACAUUUUCUUUUUUUGACCAGGAAGGUUUUUACAUUUUCUUGAAGGACAAAGUACCUUAUGUAGCAACUAUUUUAGACAGGAAUGUGAAGGGAAGCUGGGAACCAGGCAUAACCUCUGCUGCAGCCUGUAGGUGGUAGCAGUACGACCCAGUAGAAGGCUAUCUAUCUGUUGAUAAGAAGUAAAACUCAAAGCAAGAAGUAAAACCAAUAGAUGCUGCAAUAGUGUAAAAUUAGGAAUAGGUACCUCUGAUCUUAUAGUUCUAUCAUAAUUGGAGGCUCCUAGUAUACAAAAUAUUGAUGAAUAGAAAGAAAGCAACAACCUGAAGAACAACAGAAACCAAAUCUUUUUUUUAUUAUUUUUAUAAACGGAGGGUGUGUAGGAACAAAUCAACAACUUGAAUGAAAGCUUGAAAUGGCUAUAAGAAGAGAGGGCCGACAUAUCACCAAUUAGAUGAGCAUACUUACAGAGGGAAACAGGUCGUUUUUUGGCGUGCUUAGGGUCUAGGCAGUAGUAUGCGCGUGCCAACCGAUGAGGUCCUCUAAUGGUGCCCAUUCCAUUUUAAUGGAGUCGAGGGGGAGGCCGACGGCACUGGAGACGAAUGAAGCGGAUGUUUUCCCACAAGCAGGUUUAUGGAGCGAUGGGAGAGGAAGGUAGGCGAGCAGAUCAGGAGGGCCACAGGCAAGAGAGGAAGCGUCGUGAGAAGACCGAGGGGCAGCGGUGGGGCGAGUUGGGGCACCUGCACGGGAAGGCCUGCCACCUGGGGAAGGGAGAGGGGCAGGGGGAGGGGGAGGAGAAGCGCCGGAGUGGGGGAGUGGAGGAGAAGCGCCGGGGGGAGGGGGUUGGAGGAGAAGCGGCGCGGCUGGGAUGCGUGAUGCGAGCGCGUCGCGCGGGCUGGUGGGGAAGGGAGGAGUCGCGCGCACGGUGAGAGGAACGCGCCCGGCGGCGGCGGCGGAGAAUCUGGUGCGCUCGGUGGAGGGAGGCAGCGCUUAGGGAUGGAACGGAUCGAACCGUUUGCAGCAGCUGAUCGAACGGCUGGUAUUAAAAGAGUGACGUGGCUUCACCAGAUCUCAGCAAAAUCCUAAUAACUACACUAAGUAAGGAUCACUUGUAUAGAAUGCCAAUUGGAUUUAUACGUUGUAGGAUCGUAAAGAGUCUUACAUUUAUGCCAAUUGGAUUUUUAGGUGUAGGAUCCUAAAGAAUCUUUUCCAUCUUAAAAGCUAAUCAAUAAAGUGAGGAACCAGAGAUGCUGAACUAGCUAAGUUUUGAUACCAAUUAUAGUAUUGUAAAGGGUUUUUC
This 3977-nucleotide long non-coding RNA is filed under the name Oryza sativa (Asian cultivated rice). Its description in RNAcentral is "long non-coding RNA (OSAT_LNC000797)". The record is from RNAcentral. Lineage: Eukaryota; Viridiplantae; Streptophyta; Magnoliopsida; Poales; Poaceae.